RNAcentral lists this ribosomal RNA (351 nucleotides) under uncultured soil bacterium. RNAcentral's name for it is "bacterial SSU rRNA". It matches the Rfam family "Bacterial small subunit ribosomal RNA", at positions 26 to 372 of the family's 1533-position model. The record is from RNAcentral.
AGAUUGAACGCUGGCGGCAUGCCUUACACAUGCAAGUCGAACGGCAGCACGGGAGCAAUCCUGGUGGCGAGUGGCGAACGGGUGAGUAAUACAUCGGAACGUGCCCAAUCGUGGGGGAUAACGCAGCGAAAGCUGUGCUAAUACCGCAUAAGAUCUACGGAUGAAAGCAGGGGAUCGCAAGACCUUGCGCGAAUGGAGCGGCCGAUGGCAGAUUAGGUAGUUGGUGAGGUAAAGGCUCACCAAGCCUUCGAUCUGUAGCUGGUCUAGGAGGGACGACCAGCCACACGUGGGACUGAGACGACGGCCCAGACCUCCGACGGGAGCGAGCGAGGUUAGGGGUAAUUUUGGAAC